AUACCCGCUCCGCGAGUGGUGGGGACUUUUACUGGGCUUAAAGCGCCCGUAGCCGGCUGGGUGUGUCCUCCGUUAAAUCCACAGGCCUAACCUGUGGGCUGCGGGGGAUACUACCCGGCUUGGGGGUGGGAGAGGGCGGCGGUAUUCCCGGGGUAGGGGUAAAAUCCACUGAUCCCGGGAGGACCACCAGUGGCGAAGGCGGCCGCCCAGAACACGCCCGACGGUGAGGGGCGAAAGCUGGGGGAGCAAACGGGAUUAGAAACCCUAGUAGUCC
Molecule: ribosomal RNA, 274 nt
Filed under: uncultured bacterium
Lineage: Bacteria
Description: partial 16S ribosomal RNA
Rfam family: Archaeal small subunit ribosomal RNA
Source: RNAcentral